CGGUACAAAGCGUNCCAAAACCGCGAGGGGGAGGCAAUCGCAAAAAACCGUUCUCAGUUCGGAUUGCAGGCUGCAACUCGCCUGCAUGAAGCUGGAAUCGCUAGUAAUGGCAGAUCAGCACGCUGCCGUGAAUACGUUCCCGGGCCUUGUACACACCGCCCGUCACAUCACGAAAGUGGAUUGUACUAGAAGUCUGCAGGCUGACCCGCAAGGGGGGCAGCGGCCCAAGGUAUGAUCCAUGAUUGGGGUGAAGUCGUAACAAGGUAGCC
Molecule: ribosomal RNA, 269 nt
Filed under: unidentified soil organism R6-66
Description: partial 16S ribosomal RNA
Rfam family: Bacterial small subunit ribosomal RNA
Source: RNAcentral